RNAcentral lists this ribosomal RNA (372 nucleotides) under uncultured organism. RNAcentral's name for it is "bacterial SSU rRNA". It matches the Rfam family "Bacterial small subunit ribosomal RNA", at positions 526 to 896 of the family's 1533-position model. The record is from RNAcentral.
CAGAGGGGGCAAGCGUUGUUCGGAAUUACUGGGCGUAAAGGGCGCGUAGGCGGCCUGCUAAGUCGAACGUGAAAUCCCUGGGCUCAACCCAGGAACUGCGUCCGAUACUGGUUGGCUUGAAUCCGGGAGAGGGACGUGGAAUUCCAGGUGUAGCGGUGAAAUGCGUAGAUAUCUGGAGGAACACCGGUGGCGAAGGCGACGUCCUGGACCGGUAUUGACGCUGAGGCGCGAAAGCCAGGGGAGCAAACGGGAUUAGAUACCCCGGUAGUCCUGGCCCUAAACGAUGAAUGCUUGGUGUGGCGGGUAUCGAUCCCUGCCGUGCCGAAGCUAACGCAUUAAGCAUUCCGCCUGGGGAGUACGGUCGCAAGGCUG